RNAcentral lists this unclassified non-coding RNA (25 nucleotides) under Mus musculus (house mouse). RNAcentral's name for it is "oocyte_clustered_small_RNA959". The record is from RNAcentral. Lineage: Eukaryota; Metazoa; Chordata; Mammalia; Rodentia; Muridae.
UGAUAGAGAUGUAGUCAGUGAUAAG